This 26-nucleotide non-coding RNA is filed under the name Homo sapiens (human). Lineage: Eukaryota; Metazoa; Chordata; Mammalia; Primates; Hominidae. The record is from RNAcentral.
UGCACGGAAAAGCGGUGCUGUGUGGA